GAUGAACGCUGGCGGCGUGCUUAACACAUGCAAGUCGAACGGGAAUUAUUUUAUUGAAACUUCGGUCGAUUUCAUUUAAUUCUAGUGGCGGACGGGUGAGUAACGCGUGGGUAACCUGCCUUAUACAGGGGGAUAACAGUCAGAAAUGGCUGCUAAUACCGCAUAAGCGCACAGAGCUGCAUGGCUCAGUGUGAAAAACUCCGGUGGUAUAAGAUGGACCCGCGUUGGAUUAGCUGGUUGGUGGGGUAACGGCCCACCAAGGCGACGAUCCAUAGCCGGCCUGAGAGGGUGAACGGCCACAUUGGGACUGAGACACGGCCCAGACUCCUACGGGAAGCAGCAGUGGGGAAUAUUGCACAAUGGGGGAAACCCUGAUGCAGCGACGCCGCGUGAAGGAAGAAGUAUCUCGGUAUGUAAACUUCUAUCAGCAGGGAAGAUAGUGACGGUACCUGACUAAGAAGCCCCGGCUAACUACGUG
This 478-nucleotide ribosomal RNA is filed under the name uncultured bacterium. RNAcentral describes it as "partial 16S ribosomal RNA". It matches the Rfam family "Bacterial small subunit ribosomal RNA", at positions 28 to 507 of the family's 1533-position model. The record is from RNAcentral.